Molecule: ribosomal RNA, 572 nt
Filed under: uncultured Nitrososphaerota archaeon
Lineage: Archaea; Thermoproteati; Nitrososphaerota
Description: bacterial SSU rRNA
Rfam family: Archaeal small subunit ribosomal RNA
Source: RNAcentral
UAGCAAUAUGUGGCAUACGGCUCAGUAACACGUAGUCAACAUGCCCAGGGGACGUGGAUAACCUCGGGAAACUGAGGAUAAACCGCGAUAAGUCACUACUUCUGGAAUGGGUAAUGACUUAAACCUAUAUGGCCCCUGGAUUGGACUGCGGCCGAUCAGGCUGUUGGUGAGGUAAUGGCCCACCAAACCUGUAACCGGUACGGGCUCUGAGAGGAGGAGCCCGGAGAUGGGCACUGAGACAAGGGCCCAGGCCCUAUGGGGCGCAGCAGGCGCGAAACCUCUGCAAUAGGCGAAAGCCUGACAGGGUUACUCUGAGUGAUUUCCGUUAAGGAGAUCUUUUGGCACCUCUAAAAAUGGUGCAGAAUAAGGGGUGGGCAAGUCGGGUGUCAGCCGCCGCGGUAAUACCAGCACCCCGAGUGGUCGGGACGUUUAUUGGGCCUAAAGCAUCCGUAGCCGGUUCUGCAAGUCUUCCGUUAAAUCCACCUGCUUAACAGAUGGGCUGCGGAAGAUACUAUAGAGCUAGGAGGCGGGAGAGGCAAGCGGUACUCGAUGGGUAGGGGUAAAAUCCGUUG